UCAGUUCGGAUCGGAGGUCUGCAACCCGACUCCGUGAAGCUGGAUUCGCUAGUAAUCGCGCAUCAGCCAUGGCGCGGUGAAUACGUUCCCGGGCCUUGUACACACCGCCCGUCAAGCCAUGGGAGCUGGGGGUGCCUGAAGGCCGUGACCGCGAGGAGCGGCCUAGGGUAAAACCGGUGACUGGGGCUAAGUCGUAACAAGGUAUC
This 206-nucleotide ribosomal RNA is filed under the name uncultured bacterium. RNAcentral's name for it is "partial 16S ribosomal RNA". It matches the Rfam family "Bacterial small subunit ribosomal RNA", at positions 1288 to 1500 of the family's 1533-position model. The record is from RNAcentral.